RNAcentral lists this ribosomal RNA (303 nucleotides) under uncultured bacterium. RNAcentral's name for it is "partial 16S ribosomal RNA". It matches the Rfam family "Bacterial small subunit ribosomal RNA", at positions 510 to 808 of the family's 1533-position model. The record is from RNAcentral.
AGCAGUCGCCAGGUAAUACGUAGGUGGCAAGCGUUGUCCGGAAUUAUUGGGCGUAAAGGGCUCGCAGGCGGUUUCUUAAGUCUGAUGUGAAAGCCCCCGGCUCAACCGGGGAGGGUCUUUGGAAACUGGGAAACUUGAGUGCAGAAGAGGAGAGUGGAAUUCCACGUGUAGCGGUGAAAUGCGUAGAGAUGUGGAGGAACACCAGUGGCGAAGGCGACUCUCUGGUCUGUAACUGACGCUGAGGAGCGAAAGCGUGGGGAGCGAACAGGAUUAGAUACCCCAGUAGUCCCUGUCUCUUAUACA